GUCAGUAAGUUUUAACAAAACAAAACUUUCAACAACGGAUCUCUUGGUUCUCGCAUCGAUGAAGAGCGCAGCGAAAUGCGAUACCUAGUGUGAAUUGCAGCCAUCGUGAAUCAUCGAGUUCUUGAACGCACAUUGCGCCCCAUGGUAUUCCAUGGGGCAUGCCUGUCUGAGCGUCGUUUCCUUCUUGCGCAAGCAGAGUUGAGAACAGGCUAUGCCUUUUUCGAAAUGGAACGUCGUGGACGAAGUGAACUAAACAUUUAGCACGCUUUGGCCGCCGAACUUUUAACUAAGCUCGACCUCAGAUCAGGUAGGAAUACCCGCUGAACUUAAGCAUAUCAAA
Molecule: ribosomal RNA, 340 nt
Filed under: Pichia sp.
Lineage: Eukaryota; Fungi; Ascomycota; Pichiomycetes; Pichiales; Pichiaceae
Description: eukaryotic LSU rRNA
Rfam family: 5.8S ribosomal RNA (bases 24-176)
Source: RNAcentral